This 253-nucleotide ribosomal RNA is filed under the name uncultured bacterium. RNAcentral describes it as "partial 16S ribosomal RNA". It matches the Rfam family "Bacterial small subunit ribosomal RNA", at positions 524 to 776 of the family's 1533-position model. The record is from RNAcentral.
UACGUAGGGACCAAGCGUUGUUCGGAUUUACUGGGCGUAAAGGGCGCGUAGGCGGCAAUUCAAGUCAUCUGUGAAAUCUCCGGGCUUAACUCGGAACGGUCAAGUGAUACUGUCGGACUAGAGUACAGAAGGGGCAACUGGAAUUCUCGAUGUAGCGGUGAAAUGCGUAGAUAUCGAGAGGAACACCUGCGGCGAAGGCGGGUUGCUGGGCUGAUACUGACGCUGAGGCGCGAAAGCCAGGGGAGCGAACGGG